GUGGGGAAUAUUGCACAAUGGGCGAAAGCCUGAUGCAGCGACGCCGCGUGAGCGAUGAAGUAUUUCGGUACGUAAAGCUCUAUCAGCAGGGAAGAUAAUGACGGUACCUGACUAAGAAGCACCGGCUAAAUACGUGCCAGCAGCCGCGGUAAUACGUAUGGUGCAAGCGUUAUCCGGAUUUACUGGGUGUAAAGGGAGCGUAGACGGAAUGGCAAGUCUGAAGUGAAAUCCUGCGGCUUAACUGCAGAAUUGCUUUGGAAACUGUCAAUCUGGAGUGUUGGAGAGGUAAGCGGAAUUCCUGGUGUAGCGGUGAAAUGCGUAGAUAUCAGGAAGAACACCGGAGGCGAAGGCGGCUUACUGGACAAUAACUGACGUUGAGGCUCGAAAGCGUGGGAAGCAAACAGGAUUAGAAACCCUUGUAGUCC
This 425-nucleotide ribosomal RNA is filed under the name uncultured bacterium. Its description in RNAcentral is "partial 16S ribosomal RNA". It matches the Rfam family "Bacterial small subunit ribosomal RNA", at positions 354 to 796 of the family's 1533-position model. The record is from RNAcentral.